GAUGAAGAACUCAGCGAAAUGCGAUACGUAAUGUGAAUUGCAGAAUUCAGUGAAUCAUCGAAUCUUUGAACGCAUAUUGCGCUCUCUGGUAUUCCGGAGAGCAUGCUUGUUUGAGUAUCAGUAAACACCUCAACUUCCAUAUCUUUUUUGAAAUGGGAGUUGGACUUGAGUGAUCCCAACGCUUUUCCUCACCGAAAAGUGGCGGGUUACUUGAAAUGCAGGUGCAGCUGGACUUUUCUCUGAGCUAUAAGCAUAUCUAUUUAGUCUGCCUAAAAAACAGAUUAUUACCUUUGCUGCAGCUAACAUAAAGGAGAUUAGUUCUUGUGCUGACUGAUGCAGGAUUCACAGAGACAGCUUCGGCUGGCCUUUGUAAACUCGAUCUCAAAUCAAGUAAGACUACCCGCUGAACUUAAGCAUAUCAAUAAGCGGAGGA
This 433-nucleotide unclassified non-coding RNA is filed under the name soil metagenome. RNAcentral's name for it is "partial contains 5.8S ribosomal RNA, internal transcribed spacer 2, and large subunit ribosomal RNA". The stretch from base 1 to 120 matches the Rfam family "5.8S ribosomal RNA", at positions 35 to 154 of the family's 154-position model. The record is from RNAcentral.